AACUUUUGACAAUGGAUCUCUUGGCUCUCGCAUCGAUGAAGAACGCAGUGAAAUGCGAUACGUAAUGUGAAUUGCAGAAUUCAGUGAAUCAUCGAAUUUUUGAACGCACCUUGCGCUCCCUGGUAUUCCGGGGAGCACGCCUGUUCGAGUGUCGUGAAAUUCUCAAACUGAGAUGCUUUUUUGUUUCUCGGCUUGGUGUUGGGCUUUGCAGUUCCCUUUGAUUGGGAUGGCUGGCCUCAAAUGCAUUAGCUGUCUUUUCAUGUGGGAUUGGUUCUACUCAGCGUGAUAAUGAUCUGACCGCCGAGGACAUCUUUCGAGUUGGCCAAUUCUCAUUUGGGCUUCUUCUAAUCUUGGUCGAGCAGAUUCUGAAUCUGUUCCACUUUUCAACUUUUGACCUCGAAUCAGGUGGGACUACCCGCUGAACUUAAGCAUAUCAAUAAGCGGAGGCU
Molecule: unclassified non-coding RNA, 449 nt
Filed under: uncultured Clavulina
Lineage: Eukaryota; Fungi; Basidiomycota; Agaricomycetes; Cantharellales; Hydnaceae
Description: sequence contains ITS2
Rfam family: 5.8S ribosomal RNA (bases 1-154)
Source: RNAcentral